RNAcentral lists this ribosomal RNA (249 nucleotides) under uncultured bacterium. Its description in RNAcentral is "partial 16S ribosomal RNA". It matches the Rfam family "Bacterial small subunit ribosomal RNA", at positions 355 to 621 of the family's 1533-position model. The record is from RNAcentral.
UGGGGAAUCUUGCGCAAUGGGCGAAAGCCUGACGCAGCCAUGCCGCGUGGAUGAUGAAGGUCUUAGGAUUGUAAAAUCCUUUCACCGGUGAAGAUAAUGACUGUAGCCGGAGAAGAAGCCCCGGCUAACUUCGUGCCAGCAGCCGCGGUAAUACGAAGGGGGCUAGCGUUGCUCGGAUUUACUGGGCGUAAAGGGCGCGUAGGCGGACAUUUAAGUCAGGGGUGAAAUCCCGGGGCUCAACCCCGGAAC